Molecule: non-coding RNA, 909 nt
Organism: Xyrichtys novacula (pearly razorfish)
Lineage: Eukaryota; Metazoa; Chordata; Actinopteri; Labriformes; Labridae
Source: the annotation of a GenBank genome assembly
CACAUGGUCUGACAGAGGUAAUGAGGCCUCGUUCAUGGUAUUUGACCAUUUAUUUUAAGUCCUUUUUAUCAGAGGCUAAAUUGUGUGUGUUCUUUGAGAUUGUUUAAUUGCAGUUUGCACUUUUACCUGACUGCUUGCAGUUUGCACUUCACCCUGAUUUGCAGAAGGAAACUUUGAUAGAUGUACCUAAACAUGUAUGAGUGGCUGAAUUUUAUUAACAGACAGCAUCCAAGAAAUAGCAGGAUUUUGAUAUUUCUUAACCGUGCAAUAAUUUCUGUCUCUGGUUUCCAGGCUCAAUCAGCUGCUGUUCUUGUUUUUUUGUUUGUUUAGAUCCUGAAUUUUUUUUUUUUUUUUUUUUUUUUUAAUCAUUCUAAUUAUUUAGUUAUUUUUAAAUUUUUAUUUUUAUUUUUAUUUUUUGUCUGUUUGAUCCUGUGUUUUUUUUUUUUUUUUUUUUUUUUUUUGUCAGAACUUUUUUUGUCUUUUAGAGUUUUAGAGUUUAAGUUUAUUUCUUUUGUAUAACUUUUUCUUUCUCAUCCCCUACAGUGCAGUAGUGGCUGGCUAGCAGAGAUUAGGCACGUUGGAUGGUUCCCCACACCUUUUUGUUGCAGUGGUAGGCGCACUGGAGCACCAUAGUCUACACCAGUUUGCAUUGAGUUCAUGUGUGGUGGGCUAGCUCCAACUCCCUGUCCCCUUCCCUUCUUGUUAGUUUUAACUAUCUGGAAGUGUUUUAUUGAUUAAUUGUUAAAAUAAUCACUUGUAAUCAACUUUAGCAAUCAACUUAUUCAAUAACAGACUCAAACCUUUAUUACCAAUUCACCACUAACUCCCUUUUGUGUCUUUCAGCAGACACUUCCAGGUCAAAGCAUUUUUAUAUUUUAAUAUUAUAAAUAAAUUUUGAUUUGCUCUGAA